UUUGAGGAGCCCGCGGCCUAUCAGCUUGUUGGUGAGGUAACGGCUCACCAAGGCGUUGACGGGUAGCUGGUCUGAGAGGACGACCAGUCACACUGGGACUGAGACACGGCCCAGACACCUACGGGUGGCAGCAGUCGAGAAUUUUUCUCAAUGGGGGAAACCCUGAAGGAGCGACGCCGCGUGGAGGAUGAAGGUCUUCGGGUUGUAAACUCCUGUCAUUUGGGAACAAGGCUGUGCGGUUAACUGCCGUGCAGUUGAUAGUACCAGAAGAGGAAGAGACGGCUAACUCUGUGCCAGCAGCCGCGGUAAUACAGAGGUCUCAAGCGUUGUUCGGAUUCAUUGGGCGUAAAGGGUGCGUAGGCGGCGCGGUAAGUCGGGUGUGAAAUUUCGAGGCUUAACUUCGAAACUGCAUUCGAUACUGCCGUGCUUGAGGACUGGAGAGGAGACUGGAAUUUACGGUGUAGCGGUGAAAUGCGUAGAUAUCGUAAGGAAGACCAGUGGCGAAGGCGGGUCUCUGGACAGUUCCUGACGCUGAGGCACGAAGGCCAGGGGAGCAAACGGGAUUAGAUACCCCGGUAGUCCUGGCAAUAAACGGUGCACGUUUGGUGUGGGAGGAUUCGACCCCUUCUGCGCCGGAGCUAACGCGUUAAACGUGCCGCCUGGGGAGUACGGUCGCAAGAUUAAAACUCAAAGAAAUUGACGGGGGCCCGCACAAGCGGUGGAGUAUGUGGCUUAAUUCGAUGCAACGCGAAGAACCUUACCUGGCCUUGACAUGCAUCUCUAAGCUGGUGAAAGCCAGUGAAUCCCGAAAGGGACAAUUUGCACAGGUGCUGCAUGGCUGUCGUCAGCUCGUGUCGUGAGAUGUUGGGUUAAGUCCCGCAACGAGCGCAACCCCUGUGGACUGUUGCCACCGGCCCGUGAGGGUCGAGCACUCUGUUCAGACUGCC
This 947-nucleotide ribosomal RNA is filed under the name uncultured Verrucomicrobiota bacterium. Its description in RNAcentral is "bacterial SSU rRNA". It matches the Rfam family "Bacterial small subunit ribosomal RNA", at positions 221 to 1153 of the family's 1533-position model. The record is from RNAcentral. Lineage: Bacteria; Pseudomonadati; Verrucomicrobiota.